GUAACGUAAACUAUUGUUGCAGACUGAGUUGGGAUCUUCAAAAGAAACAUGCUAUGGGAGAAAAAAAGAGUUGUUACAGGGAUGUUACGAAGAGAGAAAAGAUAUUGGAAUUCUACUGCUGCUACAAAAACAGGAUGAUUUGAUUCAUUUCAAAAGAAGAUCUGAAUAAGGAAGGAAACUCAUAUACACUUACAAAAAGAAACAGGGAAGAAAUGAGUGGAUGGAAGAAAAGUAAUGUAUUUGUUAAGAAAGUCUCUGUUUUGGCAAGGAUAAACUUGUGCUGCAAAAAUCAGUCCUGAGCAUGGAUCCUCAAGUGCUGUUGACUGAACUUCACUACUAUAUUGACAGCUUCUGAUUAUUACUACCUGGAACUGCAGUUGAAGGGGUAACCCAGAGAUGAAAGGACUCCUCUGAAAUUCAUUCCUGAAACCCUUUAGUCACUAAGAGAAAAAGAAAGUGGGAGCAAGAAACUGGCUAAGACAAGUCUGAGGAAGAUGAAAUUAUGGCUAAGAAGAAAAAAAGAAGGAGAAUAUUUUCAAGAUGGAAAAGUUAACAGCCUUCACUAAAACCAUUGUGCUGCUUUAUAUUUUCUAAGAUGAAUGGAAGGGAUGGUAGGACUCCAACCCUGCGAGCACCAGUGGGAUGUACCCUGGAGAGGGGCAGUUCACCUUGGAGAGGUGGAAACAGGAACGAGGUGACGGUUUUAACACACUGCCCAAACCCCCUCCCACAGUGCCGUAAGGGCAAGGCUGCGGAGGAGCCACAUUUGAAGCAUCACAGCUCAGCAUCCCUCCAACAACAGAAAAUAGAUGCCUUCCACUUUGUUCUCCUGCAUGGAUCUGUAAGCUGUCAUGAACUUGCACGUGAAGAUAAUGGACACUGAAGUUUGGCUGGCGCAUUUGCUCUCUCACUCCCAAACCCUUGAUGCCUUGCUGCAAUCAGACAACUUAAUUAGUCCGAGCCCACCC
Molecule: long non-coding RNA, 968 nt
Filed under: Apteryx owenii (little spotted kiwi)
Lineage: Eukaryota; Metazoa; Chordata; Aves; Apterygiformes; Apterygidae
Description: lncRNA (ENSAOWG00000005723.1)
Source: RNAcentral